RNAcentral lists this ribosomal RNA (506 nucleotides) under uncultured bacterium. RNAcentral's name for it is "partial 16S ribosomal RNA". It matches the Rfam family "Bacterial small subunit ribosomal RNA", at positions 28 to 523 of the family's 1533-position model. The record is from RNAcentral.
GAUGAACGCUAGCUACAGGCUUAACACAUGCAAGUCGAGGGGUAACGAGAGGAAAGCUUGCUUUCCUUGUCGACGACCGGCGCACGGGUGAGUAACGCGUAUCCAACCUGCCCCCAACUAGGGAAUAACCUUGCGAAAGUAAGACUAAUACCCUAUAAUUUCCUCAGAUGUCAUCUGACGAGGAAUAAAGAUUUAUCGGUUGUGGAUGGGGAUGCGUCUGAUUGGCUUGUUGGCGGGGUAACGGCCAACCAAGGCAACGAUCAGUAGGGGUUCUGGGAGGAAGGUCCCCCACAUUGGAACUGAGACACGGUCCAAACUCCUACGGGAGGCAGCAGUGAGGAAUAUUGGUCAAUGGGCGGAAGCCUGAAUCAGCCAAGUAGCGUGCAGGAUGACGGCCCUAUGGGUUGUAAACUGCUUUUAUACAGGAAUAAAGUUAGCCACGUGUGGUUAUUUGUAGGUACUGUAUGAAUAAGGACCGGCUAAUUCCGUGCCAGCAGCCGCGGUAA